UGGGGAAUCUUGGACAAUGGGGGCAACCCUGAUCCAGCCAUGCCGCGUGAGUGAUGAAGGCCUUAGGGUCGUAAAGCUCUUUCGCCUGUGAAGAUAAUGACGGUAGCAGGUAAAGAAACCCCGGCUAACUCCGUGCCAGCAGCCGCGGUAAUACGAAGGGGGCAAGCGUUGUUCGGAAUUACUGGGCGUAAAGGGCGUGUAGGCGGUCUAAUCAGUCAGUGGUGAAAGCCCUGGGCUCAACCCAGGAAUUGCCUUUGAUACUGUUAGACUAGAGUUCGGGAGAGGAUAGUGGAAUUCCCAGUGUAGAGGUGAAAUUCGUAGAUAUUGGGAAGAACACCAGUGGCGAAGGCGGCUAUCUGGACCGAUACUGACGCUGAGGCGCGAAAGCGUGGGGAGCAAACAGGAUUAGAUACCCUGGUAGUCCACACCGUAAACGAUGAAUGCCAGUCGUCGGGUAGCAUGCUAUUCGGUGACACACCUAAC
RNAcentral lists this ribosomal RNA (483 nucleotides) under uncultured bacterium. RNAcentral's name for it is "bacterial SSU rRNA". It matches the Rfam family "Bacterial small subunit ribosomal RNA", at positions 355 to 856 of the family's 1533-position model. The record is from RNAcentral.